GCGGAUGUGGCGGAACUGGCAGACGCGCUGGUCUUAGGAACCAGUGUCAUCGACGUGGGGGUUCAAGUCCCUUCAUCCGCACCA
Molecule: transfer RNA, 84 nt
Filed under: Clostridium sp. 28_12
Lineage: Bacteria; Bacillati; Bacillota; Clostridia; Eubacteriales; Clostridiaceae
Description: tRNA-Leu
Rfam family: tRNA
About the family: Transfer RNA (tRNA) molecules are approximately 80 nucleotides in length. Their secondary structure includes four short double-helical elements and three loops (D, anti-codon, and T loops). Further hydrogen bonds mediate the characteristic L-shaped molecular structure. tRNAs have two regions of fundamental functional importance: the anti-codon, which is responsible for specific mRNA codon recognition, and the 3' end, to which the tRNAs corresponding amino acid is attached (by aminoacyl-tRNA synthetases). tRNAs cope with the degeneracy of the genetic code in two manners: having more than one tRNA (with a specific anti-codon) for a particular amino acid; and 'wobble' base-pairing, i.e. permitting non-standard base-pairing at the 3rd anti-codon position.
Source: RNAcentral